This is a small nucleolar RNA of Gorilla gorilla gorilla (western lowland gorilla), 216 nucleotides long. Its record names the gene U3. It matches the Rfam family "Small nucleolar RNA U3". From Rfam's summary of the family: Small nucleolar RNAs (snoRNAs) are involved in the processing and modification of rRNA in the nucleolus. There are two main classes of snoRNAs: the box C/D class, and the box H/ACA class. U3 snoRNA is a member of the box C/D class. The record is from Ensembl. Lineage: Eukaryota; Metazoa; Chordata; Mammalia; Primates; Hominidae.
AAGACUAUACUUUCAGGGAUCAUUUCUAUAGUUCAUUACUAGAGAAGUUUCUCUGAAUGGGUAGAGCACUGGAAACCAUGAGGAGGAGGCACAGUGUUCUCUCCUGAGCAUGAAGCUGACUCUUGGUGUUGCUUCACUGCACCUGCCAUGUGCCAUUGAUGAUUGUUCUUGUCUUCCUCUGGGAGAGUAAGACGGAGAGCAUGCAGUCUGAGUGCU